GCCGGCGUAGCUCAGUUGGCAGAGCAGCGGUUUCGUAAACCGCAGGUCGGCGGUUCGAAUCCGCCCACCGGCU
RNAcentral lists this transfer RNA (73 nucleotides) under Candidatus Latescibacterota bacterium. RNAcentral describes it as "Latescibacterota bacterium tRNA". It matches the Rfam family "tRNA". From Rfam's summary of the family: Transfer RNA (tRNA) molecules are approximately 80 nucleotides in length. Their secondary structure includes four short double-helical elements and three loops (D, anti-codon, and T loops). Lineage: Bacteria; Pseudomonadati; Candidatus Latescibacterota. The record is from Rfam by way of RNAcentral.